AUGCUUUGUUUCCCAAUCAUCAGCAACAUGGUGGUCACCAAGACCCUCAUCGAUGGUGGGGCAGGGCUCAACGUCCUAUCCGUAGAGACAUUCAACAACCUCCAAGUGCCCUACAGCCAACUCCAGCCGACCAAGCCUUUCUCCGGCAUCACCGACGGCUCCACGGUCCCGAUCGGGCAGGUCCACCUCCCUGUCACCUUCGGGGCACGCGAGAACUACCGCACUGAGCUCAUCGACUUCGACGUCGCUCACAUCCGCCUGCCGUACAAUGCCAUCCUUAGGAACCCAAUGCUGGCCAAGUUCAUGGCCGUGACUCACCACGGCUACAACGUCCUCAAGAUGCCAGGAAGCGGUGGAGUCAUCACGGUGCCCUGUGAAGAGAAGGACGCGGUGUGUUCCCUGAAGCGAGCCUUUCAGGCCGCAUCGCUGGAGGACCCGGAUCGCGGAAGCAGGAGGCUUCCCGAGGCUGCCCCCAAGAAGAAGAAGACAUCGUCCGGCCUGGCACCUCAGGAGGCAGGCCCCUCUGGGCCCGUGCCUGCCCAGGGGGAACCUCCUUCCAUCGCAUAG
This 567-nucleotide ribosomal RNA is filed under the name Triticum aestivum (bread wheat). RNAcentral's name for it is "partial small subunit ribosomal RNA". The record is from RNAcentral. Lineage: Eukaryota; Viridiplantae; Streptophyta; Magnoliopsida; Poales; Poaceae.